UCUAACAGCCCAUGAGCAAAAAGAAAAGAAUUCAAACCCAGGAAAGACGCCCCAAAAAGGCUCCUAGCCAGGCUAUCUCCCUGUCCCACGAAAGCCUUACUCCCAGGGACCGGUCCUCUGCCUCGCCUCCAAGACAGCUUCAUGGACUCAGAACUAGAGAGUGGCUGCAGAGCGAGACCGCGCAUCAUCUCUCUUCCUCCUCCAGAUUUGGUGUUUUCCCCCAAGGUGGCCGGCAGCACUGGCUCUCCACGUGGCAGGCGGAAUGGGACACAUCCAAACGCUCAAAGAGGCUACACACCCGGGCCAGUCACGCACCACCCCGGAGAUGACCAGGACAACGUGCCACCUAAGAGGCGCCCGCCCCCAUGGCCCCAGAGGUUCCUCAGUGGGCCCCAUGGUUGCCGCCAGGAAAAAGUGUGAGUCACCCAGGGGGCGGGGCUCGCCGGAGGCCGAAUGCCCAAGGAGCAAUUAACGCCGACAGCUCUCCCGCCGUCUGGUGUCCUGUGCCCCGGGCUGGGCCAGCAAACAAAGUCCGCAGCCCUUCCUCCCAGCCCGGGAGUCUCCAGGCCGUGGGAGCAAGGGGUAGGAGGAGCCAAAUCCGAGAGGGGGAAAAAGAAUCUACUUUCCAGUCGCUCCAGCCUUAAAUUCUCCCUGAGACUGCCAGAAAAGAUGCUAAUAAAAGACCAGUUGUGUGGCCA
Long non-coding RNA from Suricata suricatta (meerkat), 698 nucleotides. RefSeq lists it as uncharacterized. The transcript is spliced from 2 exons. The record is from RefSeq and is a predicted model, not a curated record. NCBI's taxonomy places the organism in Eukaryota, Metazoa, Chordata, Mammalia, Carnivora, Herpestidae.